UGACCUCAAAUCGGGUGGGACUACCCGCUGAACUUAAGCAUAUCAAUAAGCGGAGGAAAAGAAACUAACAAGGAUUCCCCUAGUAACGGCGAGUGAAGAGGGAAAAGCUCAAAUUUUGAAUCUGGUGUCUUUGACCCCCGAGUUGUAAUCUAGAGAAGUGUUUUCCGUGUCGGACCGUGCACAAGUUCCCUGGAACGGGGCGUCAUAGAGGGUGAGAAUCCCGUAUAUGGCACGGACUGCCGAUGCUCUGUGAUACACUCUCAACGAGUCGAGUUGUUUGGGAAUGCAGCUCAAAAUGGGUGGUAAAUUCCAUCUAAAGCUAAAUAUUGGCGAGAGACCGAUAGCGAACAAGUACCGUGAGGGAAAGAUGAAAAGCACUUUGGAAAGAGAGUGAAACAGUACGUGAAAUUGUUGAAAGGGAAGCGUUUGAAGUCAGUCAUGUCUGGYGGGAUUCAGCUUGGCUUCUGCCGAGUGUACUUUCCGUCCGACGGGUCAGCAUCAAUUUCGACCGAGGGAAAAAGACGUGCGGAAUGUGGCUGUCUUCGGGCAGUGUUAUAGCCCCGCGUUGUAUGCCUCGGUUGGGAUUGAGGAACGCAGCGCGCCUAUAGGCCAGGGGCUACCCGCCUCUUGACACGCGCUUAGGAUGC
RNAcentral lists this ribosomal RNA (647 nucleotides) under uncultured Sebacinales. RNAcentral's name for it is "eukaryotic LSU rRNA". It matches the Rfam family "Eukaryotic large subunit ribosomal RNA", at positions 1 to 637 of the family's 3401-position model. The record is from RNAcentral. Lineage: Eukaryota; Fungi; Basidiomycota; Agaricomycetes; Sebacinales.